Molecule: small nuclear RNA, 250 nt
Filed under: Nannospalax galili (Upper Galilee mountains blind mole rat)
Lineage: Eukaryota; Metazoa; Chordata; Mammalia; Rodentia; Spalacidae
Description: 7SK RNA (ENSNGAG00000009060.1)
Rfam family: 7SK RNA
About the family: 7SK was discovered as an abundant small nuclear RNA in the mid-70s but a possible function has only recently been suggested. Two independent studies have found that 7SK RNA binds the CDK9/cyclin T complex (known as elongation factor P-TEFb). P-TEFb activates transcription by phosphorylating the C-terminal domain of RNA polymerase II.
Source: Rfam by way of RNAcentral
GAAUGUGGGGGCAAGCUGGCUGUGACAUCCGCCACCCCACUGAUCACCAGGGUUGAUUCAGCUGAUCUGACUAGCUAGGCAGGGUCCCCUCCCUCAGUGUUCCACAUGCAUCCCUCCCAAAGCUGCAAGCUCAGUCAAAGGCAACCUUCUUCCAUCAAGAGUAGAGUCACUGCGCUCCCCUGCUAGAACCUCCGAACAAGCUCUUAAGACCAGCCUGGAUUCUGCUUUAAAAACAAAAGAGGAAAGUAGA